This 2991-nucleotide long non-coding RNA is filed under the name Homo sapiens (human). Its description in RNAcentral is "HSALNT0026336". Lineage: Eukaryota; Metazoa; Chordata; Mammalia; Primates; Hominidae. The record is from RNAcentral.
UGAAAACUGGCCAGUUUAGUAAGUGUGACAAAAAAAGCAGAUAUUUCAGUUUCCUUAUAGAAGUAAAAUAAGGAUAAUAAAACCUUGUCAGAAUCAUUGUGAAUAUCAUAAAUAAUGUAUGUAAAUUUCUUGGCACCAUUUAGUAGUCAAUAUAUUGUAAUUCUUACAUUAUUUAGGGGAAAGAGUUCUCUAAAGUGCAGAAAGAAACAAGAAUUUUUGUUGAAUAUUUAGCAAACAUACAAACACAAUGAAGAAGUAGGGAGAAUAAUAAGGACUAAAGGAAGGAGAAAGAGGAGAUAAAAGAAAAAAGGAGAAGGCCAACUAUCGUUUUCCAAUUGCCUAAGUCAUAGAUCGUGAACAACAAAGGAUGCAUUAUUUUCCUGUCUCCUUGAAGGAUGCUUGAAAUUCAAUGAGUUCUUCUUUUCCCACUGUUCGUAUGUGUUCAUGAAGGUGGAUUAUCAAGUAAAAGUAGAGGUAAAAUGGCAUUUCUGGAAUUGCAUAUAGGAUGCUGGAAAACCAAAUCACAGGAGAGAAGAUCUUCUGUUACUGAAGUCGCUGUGAUUUGAUUCUGCACUUGCCCAUAAUUGUUUCUUUAUGAGGAAAUUAGUUAUACAAUAUUUAAAAGUUUAUGUUGUGAAACCAUACGGUAAUAAAACAUGGGCCUAACAUGACAGUUUUUGGCUGUGGGAGGGAGUCGCAAGCCAAGGACAUUGAGACAAUCUAGUCUGGUGACGGUGUAGAUAUCCAUGGCACUUGUCACUUAAACAGUCAUGGGAAACCACUCCUUUCAACACAAAGACAAGGUAGAGUGAGCACGCCUAGGUCCUGGAGCACAACUAGGGUCAGGUUUCAAACCUGCCCUUGCAGAAAACCACACUUUGAUAAAAUAACUUAAUCUCACUGAUCCUCCUCUUCACCUAUGAAGUUUUACUAACAAUGCCAACCUUACAUGAUAGUAAUGGGGAUUAAAUGGUAUAGUAAUGCAUGAAUAAAUUAAGCACUAGCUACCUGCUCAAGAUUCUAUGUUAAGUUCAAUAGGACAUAUAUGCACAAGUAAAACAAACACAUUAAAACACAUUAUCAGGCUGGGCACAGUGGCUCACACCUGUAAUCCCAGAACUUUAGGAGGCUGAACCGGAUGGAUCACCUGACGUCAGGAGUUCCAGACCGGCCUGGCCAACAUAGCAAAACCGCAUCUUUACUAAAAACACAAAAAUGAGCCAGGCAUGGUGGUGCAGAGGCUGAGGCAGGAGGAUCGCUUGAACCUUGGAGGCAGACGUUGCAGUGAGCAGAGAUCACGCCACUGCACUCCAGCCUGGGUGCAGAGUGAGAUUCUGUCUCUAAAAAAAAAAAAAAAAAAAAAAAAAAAAAAAAAAAAUUAUCUGCCCAGAGCAGGGAGGUGCAAGACAUCUACCUAUACAUACAUGCACAUAAAUGAAAGCUAAAUAGCAUUUUGAAAGUCAAUAAUAGGAGGGAGGAGGAAUGAAAACUAAUUCUAAAAGAGGAAGUAUUGUGAGGCUUGAUUUCUUUGAGGCAUGGUGUAGUUUGAUUGAAAUAUUGAUCCAUAUGCUGCUGAAGUGGGAUGAUACUGUGAAGGGCCUUGAAUACCAACAGAAGCACUGGGCUUUACUGGCUAGAGAAUCUAAAAUGACUAUAGACUUUGAGUAUAGGUAGUGGGCACCAUGACUAGAACUAGACUUUAGGAAGAAUAAGAAUGAAAUUCACAAAGAAUGGAUUCAGCUAGGAGAGGAAAUUAAGGAGGCAACCUAUGUCAGAAAGGAGGCCAGCAGAAUUUGUUUACAUGAUGAACACCUCCCAGGAUUUCCCAGGGAACUUUUAAUCUUGUCUCCCAAGGACAAAGGGUGAGUAAUUCUUUUUUAUUUUAUUUUAUUUUUUUGAGAAAGGGUCUCAUUCUGUCGCCUAGACUGGAGUGCAGUGGCAUGAUGUCAGCUCACUACAACCUCCAUCUCCCAGGCUCAAGUGAUUCUCCUGCCUCAGCCUCCUGAGUAGCUGAGAUGAUAGGUGUAAUUCUUCCUGAGUCAACACAUAUCCAUUUGCUCUGAAAGACAGUACAAAUCUUUAAAAAAGUGCUGAAUGAAUUUAAACCUAAAGGAGGAAUGAGAGAUGAGGAAGAGGUACUUGUAGAAAUCUCCAAAAGUAUUUCUGAACCGAAGAAAAAUUAAAACAUGCAGCUAUAGGUGUAAAGUCGCCUGCUAUAUGGACUUUAAAUUUUAAGUUGUAUGAAAUAUUUUAAUCAUCUAUGUCUGAGGUCUAACUUUUCUCACCACUUGAGAUUUAUCUGCACAUUUUCUAAUACUUCUGAAUCAUUUUCCCUGAAAGAAUCAUCACUGCAUAUGAGGCUGCCAUCAGGAGAAUUGCCCAGUUGUGUUUUCAGAGCUGAGUCCUCAUUUCUCUUGGAAAUGAGCCCAUUAAGAGAGACAAGGAUGGUCCUUUAGCCUUUCUGAGGAUUUGGAUACCAGGAAAAUCGGAGUUUCUGCGCAACCCGAAAUUCCACACAGAAUGUACGUGUGUGCUCUGCAUUUUCCAGGGAGAAGAUUCUUAGCUCUCAGCUUUCAAUCACCUUCGUAUUUGGGCAUUUGAACAAAAACUUGACAACCUCCGUCAACGGAUGUAAUGUCAACCUGGGAGAAUAUGAUGUCAACAACAAAAAUACCUUCAUUUAAUGUCUUUUAAAAAUGUUACUUGAGUUUUCGGAUGUGUGUUUUGUUCUGUUCUCUUCUGCAAGCCAAAUGGUUACAUGAUUUUGGUUUCUAAACACAAGAUGUGAUUCCCUUUCUAUCAUACUCAAGUUUUUGGGGCAAGCACUUCACUCAGAAUGCCUUUCUCUAGACAUUAAUUAAGAAAGGAUACGACCAUCCAUAUUCACACCUGUAAUCCAGAUGUUGCUGAGCGUACCGCUGCCUCCACGGUAGUUCACACAUCACUGCCACAUUGAGAGUUCGUAAUUCAUUAUGCUGUGAGUGUUUAAAA